This is a long non-coding RNA of Schistocerca cancellata (South American locust), 2192 nucleotides long. RefSeq lists it as uncharacterized. The record is from RefSeq and is a predicted model, not a curated record. The transcript has 2 exons. Lineage: Eukaryota; Metazoa; Arthropoda; Insecta; Orthoptera; Acrididae.
ACAUUGAAAACUACGCUACCGUGUUUAUAAUUACGGUCACCCCAACUCAUAUCUCCAGCACCCUCUCCCUUGGAUUUAAUAAUGAAGAAUUAUAAAAAGUCAAGAAUAUGUUAAUAAAACAACCGAAAAACACUUCAAUUUUUGUAUGCAUUGCUGCAGAACAUACACUAGCCAACUGUCUCUUAUCAGAAUUUGAGCAAAGACAUUUGAGCUACAUUUCAGCUUGAACCUUGCAAGCACCAACAGCAUUUCCAAGUCACUACUAUGCAACAAUUAACAGCUAGCUCUUUCAUUAGCCUACAUCCCCAAAGAAAGCUAGAAAAGGCAGUAACAAAUGCUAGUCUUCAGAAACUUGCACUGCAACUGAUUACUGAGGAACGCUGUUUCAUCAUAAGUACAAAUACUGCGUGAAGGUUACAACACAAGUGACAGUAGGAAGCACACCCUUAUCCUAGUCUUUCACAAGCAGCAAAACUAAAGAGCCAUUCUGAACAUACCAUGUCAACAAUUCCCAAUUUAAACCUGCCACAAGAAGAGAGAACAGUGAAAUCAGGGCAAGACUAAAUGAAUGUUUCGAGUGCUCAACAGCAAGAACACCUCAAAUAAUAGUCCCCAGGUAAUGAAUUAAGUUUAUUAAGAGCUCUGUAUACAUUAGCUAUCCACUUCCUUUUCUAGCUUACGGUUUCCUCCAGUGAUGUUUCUACUGCCUUGUGCUGUAUUUUAAUUUUCUACUCAAUACUAGUUUGUUUUUGCGUCUGGAUGUAGUAUGAACUUUUCGAAUUAAUAUAUAUCGGGCCACCAUACUUUGUGGGCAGGCUGGAAACGAGGGUUCCAUUUUUUCCGAUCCGACCAUAUAUGCUUUUUUUUUUUAAGCUGUUAGUUUUGUGGCUUCACUAAAUUCCGAGAGAUAUGUGAUCAACAAAUACAACAGCGAAUUUUUUCGUUCUUGGUUUUUGCAAUGCACUGUUCCUUCUCGCCAUAGCAUUUUUAUUUAUUACGACAAUAAUUUACUCUCAACUUUACGUAUUUUAUAUAACUGGUGGUAUGCACAAUCACAUAAUCAUAAAAAUGAUAAUCCCGCAUUUUUUGUUGCGCGCAAGACAAGGCAUGAAAUGGAUCAGAGGUAACUUCCCUAUAAACUGCGCCACAACAAGCACUUAUUUACUGUAAUGCUUUUAUGGCCUUUCUCCGAAGCUGAAAUUCUUUUGUCUCCACAUUCUUAAUCAUAAAGGUGUAGGUACUAUUUUAUUGAUCGUAGCUGCCGGGUCACGAGACUGUGCUCGAAAGCUGCCAUAUAGAACAGAAGCGGAGUGAUGUUUGGUCGUUUGUGAAAGAGGCAGCAUUUUCAUGUCCGGCCUCCAGGUGUUCGAAGCCCCCUCCUUGAUAGCACAGACCACCCGAGCCAUUUUUACCGACGUUCCGUGGGACCGUCUGAGCCAAAGCUACUUGGUUGUGGAAUGACGUGGGUCACAGGAUGGGAAGAAAUAAGAGAAAAGAAACAAAACAAGCACGCAUGUGCGUGCGCGCACGCGCGCCCACACACACACACACACACACACACACACACACACACACAGAGAGAGAACAUAUGUAUAUAAGUAUCACAAGAAAUUGAAUAAAAGAAAUGUGACACUAUGAAGAUCUGCUGCCGUGCCUCAGGGGAGGGCACUGUUCAGGGCUCUCUCAAGUUCUCCUCUAACUUUUGUGUCCAGAGUAGUGCUGCUGCUCUAGACAAAACUAUUUCUCAAUCAUCAUCUUCAGUGGACGUGCGUUUCCUCAGUUUCAGAUGGAAAUCUCUUCUAGGAGCGGGGAGGUGGAAGGAGACGUAUGUGUGACACAACAGUUGUUUCGCUGUGGAGGAUGUGAUGUAAUUUAAAUAAUCGUCCUAGCAUUCGCUAACUGGGAUUUGUGGGAAACUUCUUACUACUGUGGCAUUUCACUCUGUGACAUUCUUGUGGAUCUGAACUGUCAAUUGUGAACAUCGUAACUGUUGUAACCGGAAAGACAGAAGGGCUCACUCUUGAAGCAAUUGCUCGUCUUAAAAGUGCUCUGUUCCUGUGUCUUCGUAAUUAAUUUGUAACUUGACUUUUGUAAACUUUUUGUUCCUUUUAAUGUCUAUCUGUUUUCUCUGUUUAUGUAUAUUUAUUGACAGCCAAAUAAAGAUGUACAAAAUGUUGUCUAAUCUCGGAAAA